GUCCACGCCUUAAACUAUGAAUACUAAGUGUAGGCGGGUUACAGCCGGUGCCGCAGCUAACGCAUUAAGUAUUCCGCCUGGGAAGUACGGCCGCAAGGUUGAAACUCAAAGGAAUUGACGGGGGCCCGCACAAGCGGUGGAGCAUGUGGUUUAAUUCGACGCAACGCGAAGAACCUUACACAGGCUGGACAUGCAGGUAGUAGAAGGGUGAAAGCCCAACGAGGUAGCAAUACCAUCCUGCUCAGGUGCUGCAUGGCUGUCGU
Molecule: ribosomal RNA, 263 nt
Filed under: uncultured bacterium
Lineage: Bacteria
Description: partial 16S ribosomal RNA
Rfam family: Bacterial small subunit ribosomal RNA
Source: RNAcentral